RNAcentral lists this small nucleolar RNA (102 nucleotides) under Chlorocebus sabaeus (green monkey). RNAcentral's name for it is "Small nucleolar RNA U13". It matches the Rfam family "Small nucleolar RNA U13". The record is from Rfam by way of RNAcentral. Lineage: Eukaryota; Metazoa; Chordata; Mammalia; Primates; Cercopithecidae.
AUCCUUUUGUAGUUUGUAAGCACGAUGAUUGGGGUUCAUGCUUGUGUGUGAGAUGGCCUCCCUUAAAUCUUGUUAUGAUGUCAGCACAUUACCCAUCUGAUG